Molecule: long non-coding RNA, 262 nt
Filed under: Capsicum annuum
Lineage: Eukaryota; Viridiplantae; Streptophyta; Magnoliopsida; Solanales; Solanaceae
Description: long non-coding RNA (CANN_LNC017745)
Source: RNAcentral
CAAGGGGACUCGAACCCUAGGCUAUUUAGACCAUAGCGCAGGCAAAUGCGAUUUCUAGUAUUGGUCCUUCAAUAUCGCCAGUUUCACAUCAUAGCUUCACAACCCUUCUUUAAUCCCCAUUAAAAUAUUUAGCACACAUUUCCAAUUAAGUGAACCAAUUAUGCAUUAAGGUAUCCAGUUGGUAUCAUCAUACAAACCUUACUUUCAAGUUCAUUAUCAUGCCAUGUCAACUACUUAGCCUACUGGGAGUCUAACCCCUCGG